ACACGUAGGGGGCAAGCGUUGUCCGGAAUUACUGGGCGUAAAGGGUGCGUAGGCGGCUUUUUAAGUCGGGUGUGAAAUAUCAUGGCUCAACCAUGGAAGUGCACUCGAAACUGGAAAGCUUGAGGUCAAGCAAGGGAGACGGAAUUGCCAGUGUAGGGGUGAAAUCCGUAGAUAUUGGCAAGAACGCCAGUGGUGAAGACGGUCUCCUGUACUGAUACUGCCGCUGAGGCACGAAAGCUAGGGGAGCGAACGGGAUUAGAAACCCUAGUAGUCC
Molecule: ribosomal RNA, 274 nt
Filed under: uncultured bacterium
Lineage: Bacteria
Description: partial 16S ribosomal RNA
Rfam family: Bacterial small subunit ribosomal RNA
Source: RNAcentral